AGCAGCCGCGGUAAUUCCAGCUCCAAUAGCGUGUAUUAAAGUUGUUGCAGUUAAAAAGCUCGUAGUUGAAUUUCGGGAUUAGUAAGUUGGUCGUGCCUCUGGUAUGUACUGGCUUUACUGGUUCCUCCUUCUUGAAGAACUGUAAUGUCAUUAAUUUGGUGUUGCAGGGAAACAGGACUGUUACUUUGAAAAAAUUAGAGUGUUUAAAGCAGGCUAACGCUUGAAUACAUUAGCAUGGAAUAAUGAAAUAGGACGUUUGAUCCUAUUUUGUUGGUUUCUAGGAUUGACGUAAUGAUUAAUAGGGAUAGUUGGGGGCAUUAGUAUUCAAUUGUCAGAGGUGAAAUUCUUGGAUUUAUUGAAGACUAACUACUGCGAAAGCAUUUGCCAAGGAUGUUUUCAUUAAUCAAGAACGAAAGUUAGGGGAUCGAAGACGAUCAGAUACCGUCGUAGUCUUAACCAUAAACUAUGCCGACUAGGGAUCGGAUGAUGUUAAUUUUUUAAUGACUCAUUCGGCGCCUUA
Molecule: ribosomal RNA, 520 nt
Filed under: uncultured Glomeromycotina
Lineage: Eukaryota; Fungi; Glomeromycota
Description: SSU rRNA
Rfam family: Eukaryotic small subunit ribosomal RNA
Source: RNAcentral